Molecule: unclassified non-coding RNA, 348 nt
Filed under: soil metagenome
Description: partial contains 5.8S ribosomal RNA, internal transcribed spacer 2, and large subunit ribosomal RNA
Rfam family: 5.8S ribosomal RNA (bases 1-120)
Source: RNAcentral
GAUGAAGAACGCAGCGAAAUGCGAUAAGUAAUGUGAAUUGUAGAAUUCAGUGAAUCAUCGAGUCUUUGAACGCACAUUGCGCCCCCUGGUAUUCCGGGGGGCAUGCCUGUCCGAGCGUCAUUGCCGCCCUCAAGCACGGCUUGUGUGUUGGGCCCCCGCCCCCCGGCUUCGGGGGGCGGGCCCGAAAGGCAGCGGCGGCACCGCGUCCGGUCCUCGAGCGUAUGGGGCUUCGUCACCCGCUCUGUAGGCCCGGCCGGCGCCCGCCGGCGACCCCAAUCAAUCUUUCCAGGUUGACCUCGGAUCAGGUAGGGAUACCCGCUGAACUUAAGCAUAUCAAUAAGCGGAGGA